AGCGGCGGACGGGUGAGUAACACGUGGGUAACCUGCCCAAGAGACUGGGAUAACACCUGGAAACAGAUGCUAAUACCGGAUAACAACACUAGACGCAUGUCUAGAGUUUGAAAGAUGGUUCUGCUAUCACUCUUGGAUGGACCUGCGGUGCAUUAGCUAGUUGGUAAGGUAACGGCUUACCAAGGCAAUGAUGCAUAGCCGAGUUGAGAGACUGAUCGGCCACAUUGGGACUGAGACACGGCCCAAACUCCUACGGGAGGCAGCAGUAGGGAAUCUUCCACAAUGGACGAAAGUCUGAUGGAGCAACGCCGCGUGAGUGAAGAAGGGUUUCGGCUCGUAAAGCUCUGUUGGUAGUGAAGAAAGAUAGAGGUAGUAACUGGCCUUUAUUUGACGUAAUUACUUAGAAAGUCACGGCUAACUACGUGCCAGCAGCCGCGGUAAUACGUAGGUGGCAAGCGUUGUCCGGAUUUAUUGGGCGUAAAGCGAGUGCAGGCGGUUCAAUAAGUCUGAUGUGAAAGCCUUCGGCUCAACCGGAGAAUUGCAUCAGAAACUGUUGAACUUGAGUGCAGAAGAGGAGAGUGGAACUCCAUGUGUAGCGGUGGAAUGCGUAGAUAUAUGGAAGAACACCAGUGGCGAAUGCGGCUCUCUGGUCUGCAACUGACGCUGAGGCUCGAAAGCAUGGGUAGCGAACAGGAUUAGAUACCCUGGUAGUCCAUGCC
Molecule: ribosomal RNA, 719 nt
Filed under: uncultured bacterium
Lineage: Bacteria
Description: bacterial SSU rRNA
Rfam family: Bacterial small subunit ribosomal RNA
Source: RNAcentral